This 1447-nucleotide ribosomal RNA is filed under the name uncultured organism. Its description in RNAcentral is "SSU rRNA". It matches the Rfam family "Bacterial small subunit ribosomal RNA". The record is from RNAcentral.
GAACGCUAGCUACAGGCUUAACACAUGCAAGUCGAGGGGCAGCAUUUUAGUUUGCUUGCAAACUGAAGAUGGCGACCGGCGCACGGGUGAGUAACACGUAUCCAACCUGCCGAUAACUCCGGAAUAGCCUUUCGAAAGAAAGAUUAAUACCGGAUAGCAUACGAAUAUCGCAUGAUAUUUUUAUUAAAGAAUUUCGGUUAUCGAUGGGGAUGCGUUCCAUUAGUUUGUUGGCGGGGUAACGGCCCACCAAGACUACGAUGGAUAGGGGUUCUGAGAGGAAGGUCCCCCACAUUGGAACUGAGACACGGUCCAAACUCCUACGGGAGGCAGCAGUGAGGAAUAUUGGUCAAUGGGCGAGAGCCUGAACCAGCCAAGUAGCGUGAAGGAUGAAGGCUCUAUGGGUCGUAAACUUCUUUUAUAUGGGAAUAAAGUUUUCCACGUGUGGAAUUUUGUAUGUACCAUAUGAAUAAGGAUCGGCUAACUCCGUGCCAGCAGCCGCGGUAAUACGGAGGAUCCGAGCGUUAUCCGGAUUUAUUGGGUUUAAAGGGAGCGUAGGUGGAUUGUUAAGUCAGUUGUGAAAGUUUGCGGCUCAACCGUAAAAUUGCAGUUGAAACUGGCAGUCUUGAGUACAGUAGAGGUGGGCGGAAUUCGUGGUGUAGCGGUGAAAUGCUUAGAUAUCACGAAGAACUCCGAUUGCGAAGGCAGCUCACUAGACUGUCACUGACACUGAUGCUCGAAAGUGUGGGUAUCAAACAGGAUUAGAUACCCUGGUAGUCCACACAGUAAACGAUGAAUACUCGCUGUUUGCGAUAUACAGUAAGCGGCCAAGCGAAAGCAUUAAGUAUUCCACCUGGGGAGUACGCCGGCAACGGUGAAACUCAAAGGAAUUGACGGGGGCCCGCACAAGCGGAGGAACAUGUGGUUUAAUUCGAUGAUACGCGAGGAACCUUACCCGGGCUUAAAUUGCAACAGAAUAUAUUGGAAACAGUAUAGCCGUAAGGCUGUUGUGAAGGUGCUGCAUGGUUGUCGUCAGCUCGUGCCGUGAGGUGUCGGCUUAAGUGCCAUAACGAGCGCAACCCUUAUCUUUAGUUACUAACAGGUUAUGCUGAGGACUCUAGAGAGACUGCCGUCGUAAGAUGUGAGGAAGGUGGGGAUGACGUCAAAUCAGCACGGCCCUUACGUCCGGGGCUACACACGUGUUACAAUGGGGGGUACAGAAGGCGGCUACCUGGUGACAGGAUGCUAAUCCCAAAAACCUCUCUCAGUUCGGAUCGAAGUCUGCAACCCGACUUCGUGAAGCUGGAUUCGCUAGUAAUCGCGCAUCAGCCAUGGCGCGGUGAAUACGUUCCCGGGCCUUGUACACACCGCCCGUCAAGCCAUGAAAGCCGGGGGUACCUGAAGUACGUAACCGCAAGGAGCGUCCUAGGGUAAAACUGGUAAUUGGGGC